Molecule: ribosomal RNA, 824 nt
Filed under: bacterium GD56SAN75%
Lineage: Bacteria
Description: bacterial SSU rRNA
Rfam family: Bacterial small subunit ribosomal RNA
Source: RNAcentral
AGUCGNACGGAAAGGNCCUUCGNGGUACUCGAGUGGCGAACGGGUGAGUAACACGUGNGUGAUCUGCCCUGCACUUUGGGAUAAGCCUGGGAAACUGGGUCUAAUACCGAAUAUGACCAUGCACUUCCUGGUGUGUGGUGGAAAGMUUUUGCGGUGUGGGAUGGGCCCGCGGCCUAUCAGCUUGUUGGUGGGGUAAUGGCCUACCAAGGCGACGACGGGUAGCCGGCCUGAGAGGGUGACCGANCACACUGGGACUGAGAUACGGCCCAAACUCCUACGGGAGGCAGCAGUGGGGAAUAUUGCACAAUGGGCGCAAGCCUGAUGCAGCGACGCCGCGUGAGGGAUGACGGCCUUCGGGUUGUAAACCUCUUUCAGCACAGACGAAGCGCAAGUGACGGUAUGUGCAGAAGAAGGACCGGCCAACUACGUGCCAGCAGCCGCGGUAAUACGUAGGGUCCGAGCGUUGUCCGGAAUUACUGGGCGUAAAGAGCUCGUAGGUGGUUUGUCGCGUUGUUCGUGAAAACUCACAGCUUAACUGUGGGCGUGCGGGCGAUACGGGCAGACUUGAGUACUGCAGGGGAGACUGGAAUUCCUGGUGUAGCGGUGGAAUGCGCAGAUAUCAGGAGGAACACCGGUGGCGAAGGCGGGUCUCUGGGCAGUAACUGACGCUGAGGAGCGAAAGCGUGGGGAGCGAACAGGAUUAGAUACCCUGGUAGUCCACGCCGUAAACGGUGGGUACUANGUGUGGGUUUCCUUCCUUGGGAUCCGUGCCGUAGCUAACGCAUUAAGUACCCCGCCUGGGGAGUACGGCCGCAAGGCUAAAA